This 897-nucleotide ribosomal RNA is filed under the name uncultured bacterium. Its description in RNAcentral is "bacterial SSU rRNA". It matches the Rfam family "Bacterial small subunit ribosomal RNA", at positions 15 to 948 of the family's 1533-position model. The record is from RNAcentral.
GAUCCUGGCUCAGGAUGAAUGCUGGCGGCGUGCCUUAGGCAUGCAAGUCAAGGGGUCACCUCGCAAGAGGUGAAACCGGCAGACGGGUGAGUAACGCGUAGGAAUCUACCUCUAGGUGGAACAUAGCCUUCCGAAAGGAAGGGUAAUUUUCCAUAGUUCUCGCAAGAGUAAAGGACUAACGGUCCGCCAAGAGAGGAGCCUGCGUCCUAUCAGCUUGUUGGUGGGGUAAAAGCCUACCAAGGCGAUGACGGGUAGCUGGACUGAGAGGUCGAUCAGCCACAACUGCACUGAAACACGGGCAGUACAUCUACGGAUGGCAGCAACCGGGAAUAUUGCGCAAUGGGGGAAACCCUGACGCAGCGACGCCGCGUGAAGGAAGAAGGCCUAUGGGUUGUAAACUUCUUUUGCUAAACCGUUCACAGUUUAGAGAAUAAGCUCCUACUAACUACGUGCCAGAAGUCUCGGUAAUACGUAGGGAGCAAGCAUUAUCCGGAUUCAUUGGGCGUAAAGUGUGCGUAGGCGGACUAGUAUGUCGUAUCUUAAAGACCAAGGCUUAACCUCGGAUCUGGAUACGAAACUGCUAGACUUGAGGAUUGUUAGGGGUGCAGAACAGUACGUGUAGCAGUGAAAUGCGUUGAUAUGUACUGGAACACCAAGGGCGAAGGCAGGCUUCUGGGUUUUUCCUGACGCUGAGGCACGAAAGCUAGGGUAGCGAAACAGAUUAGAUACCUGUGUAGUCCUAGCCGUAAACGAUGUCCGCUAUGAGUUUGCAAAAUCUUCGAUUUUGCGGGUGGCGGUAGCUAACGCGUUAAGCGGACCGCCUGGGGAGUACGACCGCAAGGUUAAAACUCAAAGGAAUUGACGGGGACCCGCACAACUGGUGGAGCGUGGUGGUUU